CCUACGGGUGACAGCAGUGAGGAAUAUUGGUCAAUGGACGGAAGUCUGAACCAGCCAUGUAGCGUGCAGGAAGACGGCUCUAUGAGUUGUAAACUGCUUUUGUACAAGGGUAAACCUGUAUACGUGUAUUCAGCUGAAAGUACUAUAUGAAUAAGGAUCGGCUAACUCCGUGCCAGCAGCCGCGGUAAUACGGAGGAUCCGAGCGUUAUCCGGAUUUAUUGGGGUUAAAGGGUGCGUAGGCGGAUUGUUAAGUUAGAGGUGAAAUUUUGGGGCUUAACCCGGGAACUGCAGUUAAUACUGGUGAUCUUGAGUGUAGUAGCGGUAGGCGGAA
Molecule: ribosomal RNA, 331 nt
Filed under: uncultured bacterium
Lineage: Bacteria
Description: partial 16S ribosomal RNA
Rfam family: Bacterial small subunit ribosomal RNA
Source: RNAcentral